This is a non-coding RNA of Hypoxylon sp. FL1284, 84 nucleotides long. The record is from the annotation of a GenBank genome assembly. Lineage: Eukaryota; Fungi; Ascomycota; Sordariomycetes; Xylariales; Hypoxylaceae.
GGACCGAUAGCUCAGUGGUAGAGUGUAGGAUUGCAGUUUGGAAUCACUAUCCCAAGGUCGCGUGUUCGAUCCACGCUCGGUCCU